UACGGAGGGUGCGAGCGUUGUCCGGAAUCACUGGGCGUAAAGGGCGCGUAGGUGGCGCGGGCAGUCAACGGUGAAAGUUCGGGGCUCAACCCUGAAUCGGCCGUCGAUACUCCCGUGCUUGAGCACUGUAGAGGCAGAUGGAAUUCCGGGUGUAGCGGUGGAAUGCGUAGAGAUCCGGAAGAACACCGGUGGCGAAGGCGGUCUGCUGGGGUGAGGCUGACGCUGAUGCGCGACAGCGUGGGGAGCAAACAGG
RNAcentral lists this ribosomal RNA (253 nucleotides) under uncultured bacterium. RNAcentral's name for it is "partial 16S ribosomal RNA". It matches the Rfam family "Bacterial small subunit ribosomal RNA", at positions 524 to 776 of the family's 1533-position model. The record is from RNAcentral.